GAUGAACGCUGGCGGCAGGCUUAACACAUGCAAGUCGAGGGGCAGCGCGGGAUAGCAAUAUCCUGGCGGCGACCGGCGGAAGGGUGCGUAACGCGUGAGCGACAUGCCCGUUGCCCGGGGACAACCGGUGGAAACGCCGACUAAUCCCCGAUGGGAUAUUGUGCCGCAUGGCACGAUAUUGAAAGUUACGGCGGCGACGGAUUGGCUCGCGUCCGAUUAGCUUGUUGGCGGGGUAACGGCCCACCAAGGCUGCGAUCGGUAGGGGUUCUGAGAGGAAGGCCCCCCACAAUGGGACUGAGACGCGGCCCAUACUCCUACGGGAGGCAGCAGUGAGGAAUAUUGGUCAAUGGGCGGAAGCCUGAACCAGCCAUGCCGCGUGCGGGAAGGAGGCCCUAUGGGCUGUGAACCGCUUUUGCCUGGGGGCAAUAAGGGCGUCGCGCACGUCCGAUGAGAGUACCAGGCGAAUAAGCAUCGGCUAACUCCGUG
Molecule: ribosomal RNA, 486 nt
Filed under: uncultured bacterium
Lineage: Bacteria
Description: partial 16S ribosomal RNA
Rfam family: Bacterial small subunit ribosomal RNA
Source: RNAcentral